UGUUAAUUACUUGUUAAGUGUAAUAUGAUAUUUUAUACUCUUUUUAAAUGGCAUAAUUAUAUAAGAUAUGAAAUAGACAGGAGGAGUUUGCAUCAGGCCCACAUCUUUUUUGUUUUCAUGGAAAGAUCACAUUCUUACACUUAACCCAUAAAUAUUUUCUUAUACAAUAGUUUCUCCAUCCAUAUUUCUUUACAUAAUCUUAUUUCGUAAAAAAUUCAUGUAAAGAUACCUAAGCCAGUUAGAAUCAAUACGAUGUUGCGUGUAGGAUAUAUUAAAAUCCGCAUUAAUUAAUGCUACGCUAUGCAGCGCGCACAAACUUGUUCCAUUGAGACAAAAGAGUUCAAAACUGACUCGGUAAGUUGUUAUCUACAUGUCAUUCUUUGUCCCUUUUGUCUUUUGGUUUGAUAUUUUAAUUAGCAAUCACCACAAACCACACACCUAUUUUGUGUCACAUAUUGGCCUUUCAGAUCGUGUUGGGACGAGGAUGAUGAUCAUCACACAUUUUUCAGUUCCCUUCUUAUGGGAUGACUUCUUUUUUGUGUGUGCUAGAUCCAUCGGUUGUAUACUAUACUUGUAUUCACCAAACGUAAACCAAACCAAAACAAAAAAUUGGUGAUGCGAAAAUGCCCAUUAUGCAAAUACUAUAGUCGAAAGUGAUAAAAAAUGUUGUUGCUUCCGUGAAUUUGCAGGAUUCUAGACCCUCACUCACAGAAGUUUUCGUUAUGAUUUUGGUUUGAACAAUUUCUUACAAACUUUAUCUUAAAAAGAGGUGAAAAAGGAAAAGUGCCAUUAGAAAUUUCUUACUAAUAAAAGCAAAGGAAAUGCUAUGACUAUCAUUUGUUUGAUGAUAUGAAGUACUGCUUCACACGCGGAAGAUAAUUUGAGUCCAUGUUUGGUUCAGUUUAGAUUUGUUUAAUAAACUACCCCCAAAAACUAUAGAUUUAUAUAAUAAUGUUUUAAACAAUAGUGCAAUUCAUUGAUUCUAGAUUAUUUUUACACCGAUAAUAAGUCACAACUGAGUCAUUUCCAUAGUAAGGUUCUUCCCCUUUUCCUUAAUUUAUUGUAAGUUACCUUUGCCUACCACUUUAAAAUAACCCUUAUUUUCUAACUUCGGAAUCCAAAUCUACUUUGGCACUCUUUUUGGUUCUAGCAAUAUCUGUUCUAGCCGAACAGCUCAAGUAGGCCCAACAUUCCCCAACUAACAAUUUACACUCUUUUCUUUGCCCAUUUUCUUUUACUUGUUCUCUUUGUUGCUUAAUUUUUCCUAGUGACAAGAUAGGAGAUCCGAUCACACUUUAAUUUUUUUUCCAACAAGUCAACAAUUAAGCAUUAUACAAACCAUGUUAAUUUAUCA
Molecule: long non-coding RNA, 1354 nt
Filed under: Glycine max (soybean)
Lineage: Eukaryota; Viridiplantae; Streptophyta; Magnoliopsida; Fabales; Fabaceae
Description: long non-coding RNA (GMAX_LNC002549)
Source: RNAcentral